Molecule: long non-coding RNA, 707 nt
Filed under: Marmota monax (woodchuck)
Lineage: Eukaryota; Metazoa; Chordata; Mammalia; Rodentia; Sciuridae
Source: RNAcentral
GGGUGAUUGGUUAGUACAAGAGGGGGAUUCCUUUGAACUGAUUGGUUUAAGCCACGAGGGGAGUAUGUGCUGAACUACAUAGUUUCCCAACAUGUUAUCAACCACCAUAAACUACUUGGGGGUCAUCUGGCAUCCCAGGUAUUUUUCCUGUCUCAUGCCGAUUGGUGGUUGCUAGGGGUUGCUAUAGGUCCUCACCUAGCCUAACUGAGUCAGGGACACCUGGCACCGCAGAUCUCUACUGUUAUUUGCAGACAAACAACUCAGCAAGGUGGGUAUAUGCCUAGGAGUACUCUGUGGGUUUUUCCAAGGACAAGGGUCACUCCCCUUUCCUUGGACAGGCUUUGCUCUGAGGUAGAGGCUGGUUUCUCAAAAAUGGAGUCACAUCAGUUUCUCAUCCCCCCCUUUGUCUGGAAACUUGGGGACCAAUCAUGGUUCCCUCAGUUGGAGGUUUAUUUGGGCAGGCCCUACAUCUUGGUAAACAGUCCCCCUCAGGGGACAGUCUUCACUUCCCAGACUCACUCAAAAUUGACCUCCUAGAUCCGACCUGACUCAAUUUACCUAUUUACACUGACUGUCUAUCUAUUUCUGGCUUCAGCCCCAAGCCAGCUGUAGACCAUAUUAUGCUCAUAUCCACUGAGUGCUGCCCAUAGUCCUUCUUGCUUUUUCCUCCCACCUUCCCUUUCUCCCCCUUCCCCUUCCUUCAUUCC